GACGAACGCUGGCGGCGUGCUUAACACAUGCAAGUCGAACGGUGAAGCGCCUGCUUUCUUGGGUGGAGCGGUGGCGAGCGGAACGGUUGCGCAUGACCUACGUACCCUGCACUCUGGUAUAGGCUAACGACACGAAAGCGAGGCCAAUAUGGGAUAAUCUUCGUCUUUGGCACGUUCUGUCUGGUUUUGCGGUUGUGUAUGGGCGCGCGGGGUAUCAGCUUGUUGGUGUGGUAGUGGCGGAAGAAGGCUACGACGGGUAGCCGGCCUGAGCGGGCGACCGGCAACGCUGGGACUGAGACACGGCCCAGCCGCGGACGGGAGGGAGCAGUGGGGAAUAUUGUAAUACGGGCGAGAGCCGGAUGCAGUGACGCCGCGUGGGGUAUGAAGGCCUUCGGGUUGUAAAGCUCGUUCGGCUGGUAAGAAGCGAGAGUGACGGUACCUGGAGAAGAAGCACCGGCUAACUACGUG
RNAcentral lists this ribosomal RNA (468 nucleotides) under uncultured bacterium. Its description in RNAcentral is "partial 16S ribosomal RNA". It matches the Rfam family "Bacterial small subunit ribosomal RNA", at positions 28 to 507 of the family's 1533-position model. The record is from RNAcentral.